This 468-nucleotide ribosomal RNA is filed under the name uncultured bacterium. RNAcentral describes it as "partial 16S ribosomal RNA". It matches the Rfam family "Bacterial small subunit ribosomal RNA", at positions 28 to 507 of the family's 1533-position model. The record is from RNAcentral.
GACGAACGCUGGCGGCGUGCUUAACACAUGCAAGUCGAACGGAAAGGCCCGGCUGUUGUCGGCUGCCCGACUUGCUAACGGGUGAGUAACAAAUGCGUAAUCUACCUUUCCUUCUGGGGUAAAUUCAGGAAACUGAGGAUUAUACCGAAUGCGAACUCCUGCUGCAUGGUGUGGGUUGGAAAGGUACGGCGGUUGGGAAUGGACUCGCGGCAUUGCAGCUGGUUGGUGGGGUAGUGGCUUACCACGGAUUGGACGGGGAGCCGGCCUGAGAGGGUGACCGGCCACAUUGGGACUGAGAUACGGCCCAGACUGCUACGGGAGGCAGCGGUGGGGAAUAUUGCACAAUGGGCGGAAGCCUGAUGCAGCAACGCCGCGUGCGGGAUGACGGCCUUCGGGUUGUAAACCGCUUUCGCCUGUGACGAAGCGUGAGUGACGGUAAUGGGUAAAGAAGCACCGGCUAACUACGUG